CACUCCUGCGGGAGGCAGCAGUGGGGAAUAUUGGACAAUGGGCGCAAGCCUGAUCCAGCCAUGCCGCGUGAGUGAUGAAGGCCCUAGGGUUGUAAAGCUCUUUUGUGCGGGAAGAUAAUGACGGUACCGCAAGAAUAAGCCCCGGCUAACUUCGUGCCAGCAGCCGCGGUAAUACGAAGGGGGCUAGCGUUGCUCGGAAUCACUGGGCGUAAAGGGUGCGUAGGCGGGUCUUUAAGUCAGGGGUGAAAUCCUGGAGCUCAACUCCAGAACUGCCUUUGAUACUGAAGAUCUUGAGUUCGGGAGAGGUGAGUGGAACUGCGAGUGUAGAGGUGAAAUUCGUAGAUAUUCGCAAGAACACCAGUGGCGAAGGCGGCUCACUGGCCCGAUACUGACGCUGAGGCACGAAAGCGUGGGGAGCAAACAGGAUUAGAAACCCGAGUAGUCC
This 445-nucleotide ribosomal RNA is filed under the name uncultured organism. RNAcentral describes it as "partial 16S ribosomal RNA". It matches the Rfam family "Bacterial small subunit ribosomal RNA", at positions 334 to 796 of the family's 1533-position model. The record is from RNAcentral.